GUGGGGAAUUUUGGACAAUGGGCGCAAGCCUGAUCCAGCGACGCCGCGUGGAGGACGAAGGCCUUCGGGUUGUAAACUCCUUUUGGAGGGGAAGAAUAAAUUGACGGUACCCUCAGAAAAAGCCAUGGCUAACUACGUGCCAGCAGCCGCGGUAAUACGUAGGUGGCGAGCGUUACUCGGAAUUACUAGGCGUAAAGCGUAUGUAGGUGGUUAGAUAAGUCUAUGGUGAAAUUUCCUGGCUUAACUGGGAAGGGACAUAGAUACUAUCUGGCUUGAGUGUGGGAGGGGGAGACGGAAUUCCUGGUGUAGCGGUGAAAUGCGUAGAUAUCAGGAGGAACACCGAUGGCGAAAGCAGUCUCCUGGCCCAAUACUGACACUGAGGUACGAAAGCUAGGGUAGCAAACAGGAUUAGAAACCCUAGUAGUCC
RNAcentral lists this ribosomal RNA (427 nucleotides) under uncultured bacterium. RNAcentral's name for it is "partial 16S ribosomal RNA". It matches the Rfam family "Bacterial small subunit ribosomal RNA", at positions 354 to 796 of the family's 1533-position model. The record is from RNAcentral.